This 441-nucleotide ribosomal RNA is filed under the name uncultured bacterium. RNAcentral describes it as "bacterial SSU rRNA". It matches the Rfam family "Bacterial small subunit ribosomal RNA", at positions 958 to 1398 of the family's 1533-position model. The record is from RNAcentral.
AACGCGAAGAACCUUACCCAGACUUGACAUGUAGAGGACAGCGCCAGAAAUGGCGUCUCCCUUCGGGGCCUUUACACAGGUGCUGCAUGGCUGUCGUCAGCUCGUGCCGUGAGGUGUUUGGUUAAGUCCAGCAACGAGCGCAACCCUUAUUACUAGUUGCCAACACGUAAUGGUGGGAACUCUAGUGAGACUGCCUGGGUUAACCAGGAGGAAGGUGAGGAUGACGUCAAGUCCGCAUGGCCCUUACGUCUGGGGCUACACACGUGCUACAAUGGUCGGUACAGAGGGCAGCAGAGCCGCGAGGUGAAGCAAAUCCCAGAAAGCCGGCCUCAGUUCAGAUUGUAGUCUGCAACUCGACUACAUGAAGACGGAAUUGCUAGUAAUGGCGAGUCAGCAACAUCGCCGUGAAUACGUUCCCGGGCCUUGUACACACCGUAGUAC